CCUACGUACCAACCUUUUUUGCAUCCUUUAUUUUGGAAAUGACCUUCACAUGAACAAAGCGCCAUCUUAGUUACUCUGAAAGCCGUCACCUCUGAAACGUCCUGCAACUAAAGUUUUGCUCUACUGUAUGUGUAACUGUUUCUUUAUCAAAACCCCAAGACAACAAAUUUCAGUUUCAUCAAUAGGUUUCAGAGUAGUUGUCAAUCUCUGCAGAAUCGGACGAGCCAUGCCGAGGCUUACCAGGGAAAAAAAAGACGCGCGGAAAGCCAAAGCAGACGCCUUGAAAGCGUCAGAGACGAGCAACACUGGUAAUAAUAAUAAUGCUCCUCCUGCUUCGAAUUGCGCUCCAUGCGGCACAAGCUCUGGUAUUGUAUCGGCAGGAGGACAAACGAGGGUUUUAACGGCGGGAAAAAGCGAACAGGAAAAUGCGACUCAAAGUAAUGCUUCUGCAGCGGUGCAGGAUAAGAGAGCUGAAAAGAGUACGGCUGAAAUUGUAAAGGAGAGAUCAGAUGGCGGAGAAAGGGGGCCGGGAGAAAACAAACACCAAAAGGUAAAUGAAAUUAAUGCUUCUACAGUGGUGCAGGAUAAGAGAGCUGAAAAGAUCAGGGCUGAUAUUGCCAAGGAGAGAUCAGGUGGUGGAGAAAGGGGGCCUUCGCAUAAGUCUGGCGAAGAAGAGGCCGUAAACUUGCGGCCGUCGCAGCUGGAGUCGAGGCAGAAACAAAGGGACGACCGUUCGAGCUUCGCUGGGAACAAGGGUUUCAGACAGGAUUAUAAUGGCAGAAAUUCGAGUGCAUCGCAGAAUUAUGAAGGAUAUAAUUCUAGACAAGGUGGGCAACAUGGGUAUAAUGACAACCGGUGGAGAGGUCGAGGAGGAGAUAAUGAAGGUGACAGCGGACGCAUCAAUGCCCUUGGAAGACUCUUAUCUCGUAUUUUGCGACACCAAGCUCCUCAGUUGGGAUUGAAAGUUAGAAGUGAUGGAUAUGUAGUAGUAAAAGAUUUGUUAAGACUACGUACAAAAACUUCGGCGGGACUGCCUCUUAAUGCUCACUCUGUUGAUGAUUUAAAAGAGGCAGUAAAGAGGGAUGAUAAGCAGCGAUUUGGAUUGCGUGAAGAAAAUGGCCAACUCCUGAUCAGGGCAAAUCAAGGCCAUAGCUUAGAGACAAUAAAUUCAGUGGACUUGUUAGAACCAGUCCUUUCAGCUGAAGAAGUUCCAGUCUGCAUGCAUGGGACUUACAUGGAAUAUUUGGCGUCAAUUAAAAAGGAGGGCCUCAAACGUAUGACAAGGAAUCAUGUACACUUUGCAGCAGGUUACUCUAGGCAGGAUGGUGUAAUCAGUGGAGUGCGACAUGAUUGUGAAGUUUUCAUACAUAUGAAUGUAUCAAAGUACUUAAAUGAUGGCAUGAAGCUCUACCGUUCUGAAAAUGGAGUGAUUUUGGCUGAAGGUCGUGAUGGUGUUGUACCACCUGAAUAUUUUGCUGAAAUAGAAAUUCCUGGAAAGAAAAGAAACAAUAACCUAUGAACAGAAUAUUAUGUUUUAUGCAUACAUAACAGUGGUCUGCAGAUGAAGGAAGGAACAAUCAGCACAAGUUUGAUGUGGGCAAUGGAUCUAUGGACCCAUCUGUUGUAACAGUGCAUGAAAUAUGUUUGAGGAUUGUGGAUCCAAUUAAAGGGUUGCUUUCCAGCUAAUGAAAUAAGUUUAGUAUGGCAAUGGAGGAGUGUACGAACUUGGUAACAUAGUAUAACGACAUUUUUUUUAUCUACGUAUGCAACAAACGGCAUUAAUGAUUUUCGGAAUUUUGAGUGUAAAGAGUGAAUAUGAAUUAAAUCAGUUGAUUGGUCAUUUUAGCUCACAUGCAAAUUUCUAUUUUGCUUAGUUAUGUGGCAAGAUGAAAUAAAUCAAUCAUUCACAAGUAUUUUACGAAUCUGAUAAUAAUUAUGAAUGGCCUUUAGAUCAAAUUGGUCUGAAGGACCUAACAAAGAGCGUGUUGCAGACAUUUGCAUAACCAUUAUUAUUAUAUGAUGGGCAAGCUAAAAAAAUAGUCGUGUUAGAGGAAGAGUGGUGUUAUCUUUUAUAUCAUGCUCUUACAGGGAUAGGGUGGCUGUUUGAGUUUGGAAAAUUGAAAAAUAACGUUGGUUUCUUUUACAAUUUGGCAUUUAUCACUAAAAAGACCCCUAUAUUUUUUUAUAUAGUCAGAUUAUUUUAAAUUUGCAUCA
RNA transcript from Cryptomeria japonica (Japanese cedar), 2214 nucleotides. RefSeq lists it as uncharacterized. The transcript has 8 exons. Lineage: Eukaryota; Viridiplantae; Streptophyta; Pinopsida; Cupressales; Cupressaceae. The record is from RefSeq and is a predicted model, not a curated record.